Molecule: ribosomal RNA, 253 nt
Filed under: uncultured bacterium
Lineage: Bacteria
Description: partial 16S ribosomal RNA
Rfam family: Bacterial small subunit ribosomal RNA
Source: RNAcentral
UACGAAGGGUGCAAGCGUUACUCGGAAUUACUGGGCGUAAAGCGUGCGUAGGUGGUUUGUUAAGUCUGAUGUGAAAGCCCUGGGCUCAACCUGGGAACGGCAUUGGAAACUGGCUUACUAGAGUGCGGUAGAGGGGUGUGGAAUUCCCGGUGUAGCAGUGAAAUGCGUAGAUAUCGGGAGGAAUAUCUGUGGCGAAGGCGACACCCUGGACCAGCACUGACACUGAGGCACGAAAGCGUGGGGAGCAAACAGG